Molecule: transfer RNA, 71 nt
Filed under: Candidatus Woesearchaeota archaeon
Lineage: Archaea; Nanobdellati; Candidatus Woesearchaeota
Description: tRNA-Ala
Rfam family: tRNA
About the family: Transfer RNA (tRNA) molecules are approximately 80 nucleotides in length. Their secondary structure includes four short double-helical elements and three loops (D, anti-codon, and T loops). Further hydrogen bonds mediate the characteristic L-shaped molecular structure. tRNAs have two regions of fundamental functional importance: the anti-codon, which is responsible for specific mRNA codon recognition, and the 3' end, to which the tRNAs corresponding amino acid is attached (by aminoacyl-tRNA synthetases). tRNAs cope with the degeneracy of the genetic code in two manners: having more than one tRNA (with a specific anti-codon) for a particular amino acid; and 'wobble' base-pairing, i.e. permitting non-standard base-pairing at the 3rd anti-codon position.
Source: RNAcentral
GGGCCAGUAGUAUAACGGCAGAAUUCAUCCUUGGCGUGGAUGGGAUCCGGGUUCAAUUCCCGGCUGGUCCA